GUCUUGUUCGUUGCCAUAUAUAGGGGACCUGGCUAGCAAUAGCGUGCAAGAAACAUGAGAGAACUCAGCAGUUAGUUUAACCUAGCUUCUUUCAAUCUUAAUGCCAUGGUAGACUUUUGUUUGUAAGACUAUUGACCGUAACCAUCAUCAUCAUUGAAGCCUCGUAUGAGAAAGUAAAUAUGUGUUGCAGAAUACUUGUUUGUAAAGUGAUGCUACAUCUACGCUCUUAUUUCAAUUUUUUUAGGAGAAAAUAAAAG
Molecule: long non-coding RNA, 257 nt
Filed under: Elaeis guineensis (African oil palm)
Lineage: Eukaryota; Viridiplantae; Streptophyta; Magnoliopsida; Arecales; Arecaceae
Description: long non-coding RNA (EGUI_LNC072347)
Source: RNAcentral